UAGGGAAUCUUCGGCAAUGGACGAAAGUCUGACCGAGCAACGCCGCGUGAGUGAAGAAGGUUUUCGGAUCGUAAAACUCUGUUGUUAGAGAAGAACAAGGACGUUAGUAACUGAACGUCCCCUGACGGUAUCUAACCAGAAAGCCACGGCUAACUACGUGCCAGCAGCCGCGGUAAUACGUAGGUGGCAAGCGUUGUCCGGAUUUAUUGGGCGUAAAGCGGGCGCAGGCGGUUUCUUAAGUCUGAUGUGAAAGCCCCCGGCUCAACCGGGGAGGGUCAUUGGAAACUGGGAGACUUGAGUGCAGAAGAGGGGAGUGGAAUUCCAUGUGUAGCGGUGAAAUGCGUAGAUAUAUGGAGGAACACCAGUGGCGAAGGCGGCUCUCUGGUCUGUAACUGACGCUGAGGCUCGAAAGCGUGGGGAGCAAACAGG
This 429-nucleotide ribosomal RNA is filed under the name Gemmatimonadota bacterium. Its description in RNAcentral is "Gemmatimonadetes bacterium partial 16S ribosomal RNA". It matches the Rfam family "Bacterial small subunit ribosomal RNA", at positions 355 to 776 of the family's 1533-position model. The record is from RNAcentral. Lineage: Bacteria; Pseudomonadati; Gemmatimonadota.